RNAcentral lists this ribosomal RNA (253 nucleotides) under uncultured bacterium. RNAcentral describes it as "partial 16S ribosomal RNA". It matches the Rfam family "Bacterial small subunit ribosomal RNA", at positions 524 to 776 of the family's 1533-position model. The record is from RNAcentral.
UACGGGGGGGGCAAGCGUUGUUCGGAAUUACUGGGCGUAAAGGGCUCGUAGGCGGCCAACUAAGUCAGACGUGAAAUCCCUCGGCUUAACCGGGGAACUGCGUCUGAUACUGGAUGGCUUGAGGUUGGGAGAGGGAUGCGGAAUUCCAGGUGUAGCGGUGAAAUGCGUAGAUAUCGGGAGGAACACCAGUGGCGAAGGCGGCUGACUGGUCCGGUUCUGACGCUGAGGCGCGAAAGCGUGGGGAGCAAACAGG